CCUACGGGAGGCAGCAGUCGAGAAUCAUUCACAAUGGGGGAAACCCUGAUGGUGCGACGCCGCGUGGGGGAAUGAAGGUCUUCGGAUUGUAAACCCCUGUCAUGUGGGAGCAAAUUAAAAAGAUAGUACCACAAGAGGAAGAGACGGCUAACUCUGUGCCAGCCGCCGCGGUAAUACAGAGGUCUCAAGCGUUGUUCGGAAUCACUGGGCGUAAAGCGUGCGUAGGCUGUUUCGUAAGUCGUGUGUGAAAGGCGCGGGCUCAACCCGCGGACGGCACAUGAUACUGCGAGACUAGAGUAAUGGAGGGGGAACAGGAAUUCUAGGUGUAGCAGUGAAAUGCGGAGAGAUAGAGAGGAACACUAGUGGCGAAGGCGGGUUCCUGGACAUUAACUGACGCUGAGGCACGAAGGCCAGGGGAGCGAAAGGGAUUAGAUACCCGAGUAGUC
This 446-nucleotide ribosomal RNA is filed under the name uncultured bacterium. RNAcentral's name for it is "partial 16S ribosomal RNA". It matches the Rfam family "Bacterial small subunit ribosomal RNA", at positions 338 to 795 of the family's 1533-position model. The record is from RNAcentral.